Molecule: ribosomal RNA, 253 nt
Filed under: uncultured bacterium
Lineage: Bacteria
Description: partial 16S ribosomal RNA
Rfam family: Bacterial small subunit ribosomal RNA
Source: RNAcentral
UACGUAGGGGGCAAGCGUUGUCCGGAAUCAUUGGGCGUAAAGAGCGUGUAGGCGGUUCGGUAAGUCUGCUGUGAAAGUCCAGGGCUCAACCCUGGAAAGCCGGUGGAUACUGUCGGACUAGAGUGCGGAAGAGGCGAGUGGAAUUCCCGGUGUAGCGGUGAAAUGCGCAGAUAUCGGGAGGAACACCAAUUGCGAAGGCAGCUCGCUGGGACGUGACUGACGCUGAGACGCGAAAGCGUGGGGAGCAAACAGG